This 253-nucleotide ribosomal RNA is filed under the name uncultured bacterium. Its description in RNAcentral is "partial 16S ribosomal RNA". It matches the Rfam family "Bacterial small subunit ribosomal RNA", at positions 524 to 776 of the family's 1533-position model. The record is from RNAcentral.
UACAAAGGGAGCUAGCGUUGUUCGGAAUCACUGGGCGUAAAGCGCACGUAGGCGGAUGUGUCAGUCAGGGGUGAAAUCCCGGAGCUCAACUUCGGAACUGCCCUUGAUACAGCACGUCUUGAGUCCGGAAGAGGUGGGUGGAAUUCCUAGUGUAGAGGUGAAAUUCGUAGAUAUUAGGAAGAACACCGGUGGCGAAGGCGGCCCACUGGUCCGGUACUGACGCUGAGGUGCGAAAGCGUGGGGAGCAAACAGG